GGGGAAUCUUGCGCAAUGGGCGAAAGCCCUGACGCAGCGACGCCGCGUGGGUGAUGAAGGCCUUCGGGUCGUAAAGCCCUGUCAAGAGGGACGAAACCUCGUCGACCGAAUACGUCGGCGACCUGACGGUACCUCUGAAGGAAGCACCGGCUAACUCCGUGCCAGCGGCCGCGGUAAUACGGAGGGUGCGAGCGUUGUUCGGAAUUACUGGGCGUAAAGCGCGUGUAGGCGGCCUCCUCAGUCUGGUGUGAAAGCCCGGGGCUCACCCCCGGAAGUGCAUUGGAUACUGGGAGGCUGGAGUACCGGAGAGGAGGGUGGAAUUCCUGGUGUAGCGGUGAAAUGCGUAGAUAUCAGGAGGAACACCGGUGGCGAAGGCGGCCCUCUGGACGGAUACUGACGCUGAGACGCGAAAGCGUGGGGAGCAAACAGGAUUAGAUACCCUGGUAGUCCACGCCGUAAACGAUGGGCACUAGGUGUUCGGGGUAUUGACCCCCUGAGUGCCGCAGCUAACGCAUUAAGUGCCCCGCCUGGGGAAUACGGCCGCAAGGUUAAAACUCAAAGGAAUUG
Molecule: ribosomal RNA, 567 nt
Filed under: uncultured bacterium
Lineage: Bacteria
Description: bacterial SSU rRNA
Rfam family: Bacterial small subunit ribosomal RNA
Source: RNAcentral